This 472-nucleotide ribosomal RNA is filed under the name uncultured bacterium. RNAcentral's name for it is "bacterial SSU rRNA". It matches the Rfam family "Bacterial small subunit ribosomal RNA", at positions 355 to 825 of the family's 1533-position model. The record is from RNAcentral.
UCGGGAAUUUUGGGCAAUGGGCGAAAGCCUGACGAAGCAACGCCGCGUGGAGGAUGAAGGUCUUCGGAUUGUAAACUCCUGUCGACCGGGACGAAUGCACCCGACCUAAUACGUCGAAGUGUUGACGGUACCGGUGGAGGAAGCCACGGCUAACUCUGUGCCAGCAGCCGCGGUAAUACAGAGGUGGCAAGCGUUGUUCGGAAUUACUGGGCGUAAAGGGCGCGUAGGCGGCAAUUCAAGUCAUCUGUGAAAUCUCCGGGCUUAACUCAGAACGGCCAAGUGAUACUGUCGCGCUAGAGUGCAGAAGGGGCAAUCGGAAUUCUUGGUGUAGCGGUGAAAUGCGUAGAUAUCAAGAGGAACACCUGAGGUGAAGACGGGUUGCUGGGCUGACACUGACGCUGAGGCGCGAAAGCCAGGGGAGCAAACGGGAUUAGAUACCCACGUAGUCCCUGAGCGGGCUGGCAAGGCGCAU